This 74-nucleotide transfer RNA is filed under the name Marmota monax (woodchuck). RNAcentral describes it as "tRNA.Ala". It matches the Rfam family "tRNA". From Rfam's summary of the family: Transfer RNA (tRNA) molecules are approximately 80 nucleotides in length. Lineage: Eukaryota; Metazoa; Chordata; Mammalia; Rodentia; Sciuridae. The record is from RNAcentral.
UGAGGCUAUAGCUCAGUUGGUAGAGUGCUUGCCUUGCAUGCACAAGGCCCUGGGUUCAAUCCCCAGUACCAUAA